AUUGGCUGGUGUGUGCAGACGCGCUAUUCCAAUUGGUCCGCGUCAUGCCUUUUCUCUUUGGUUGUAUCAGAAUUUCUGUUCUCUGUCCCGCCAAUCAGAGGCCGACACGGACUCCCGUUGAUUACAAUUGGCCGGGGGGGAAGGCAAUGCGAUUUAUUAUAAAAGAAGGAAUAACAGAAAAGUGAAACAAGCCAGGCGAAGGUGUGGAUCUGCAUUGUAAUAAAAAGCAGAAACCCGCUGGAGCCGCAGCGCCCGUCAGCAGCGCUUUGAAUGCGCGUUCCUGGAUCCUGCGCGAUGGUACAGUCCGGCCAGCAGCAUUGCAGAGAGGGGGGGCGAGUUUCAUUAGAGAUCUCUGUGAAAACAUAAAACAGAGAGAAACAGCGGGGAGGUCAUAUUAUACACGGAGAAAGAAAACAGUUUUUUAUUUAGCAACAUUCAAACCGAGAGCGUGGGUUAAAAACGUAACGGUUCAUUUAAAACACAUUUCGGGUGCCGAGUUGGUUCGUCCCAUGCCGGAAGUGAGGUGUCCUUCCAGGCUCUGUGGCGUGAAAAUAAACAGGUUGGAGGCGGAAAGAGACAGAAACAAAACCAGUGAAACCAGUAUAGACUAACGGGACUGGUGCACCUGAACCAGUCAUCCAGGGACGACAAGGAGGUGAACUCACCGGGGAGAGGGGCUUGCAGAGGGCGAAAAAAUCGAUUUCCCCCCUGUGCGUUGCUGUGUCAUGGUUCGAGCCAUGGUGGUCACAGCCACGAGCCUGGCACUCACAACAGCCGUGGUCGCCCACGCCUACUACCUGAAGCACCAGUUCUACCCCACCGUGGUGUACCUCACCAAGUCCAGCCCCAGCAUGGCAGUGCUGUACAUCCAGGCCUUUGUGCUCAUCUUCCUGCUCGGGAAGUUCAUGCGCAAAGU
This is a long non-coding RNA of Polyodon spathula (Mississippi paddlefish), 916 nucleotides long. RefSeq lists it as uncharacterized. NCBI's taxonomy places the organism in Eukaryota, Metazoa, Chordata, Actinopteri, Acipenseriformes, Polyodontidae. The transcript has 3 exons. The record is from RefSeq and is a predicted model, not a curated record.